Molecule: ribosomal RNA, 253 nt
Filed under: uncultured bacterium
Lineage: Bacteria
Description: partial 16S ribosomal RNA
Rfam family: Bacterial small subunit ribosomal RNA
Source: RNAcentral
CACGUAGGGGGCGAGCGUUGUCCGGAUUUAUUGGGCGUAAAGAGCUCGUAGGCGGUUUCGUAAGUCGGAUGGGAAAACUCCAGGCUCAACUUGGAGACGCCAUUCGAUACUGGAUGGCUUGAAUCCGGGAGAGGGAUGCAGAAUUCCAGGUGUAGCGGUGAAAUGCGUAGAUAUCUGGAGGAAUACCGGUGGCGAAGGCGGCAUCCUGGACCGGCAUUGACGCUGAGGAGCGAAAGCUAGGGGAGCAAACGGG